UCCCUCUUUCCUUUUUUCUUCUUCUUUUCUUUUGGUAUUUUCUUAUGUGGCACCAUAGCCCUCUUGGGCUGACUCCACCAGACCAAUAAGGACUUGGUGCACCACCCUAGGGCCUUGGUCUCACUCCCGGGUGGGUGGGCCCUUUCCGGUAAACACCCGGAACCCAUUCGUCACUCUCGGUACAUUACAGGAAUUGCCCAAUACUUUCCGGUGACCAAAUGAAACCAUCCUAUAUAUGAAUCUUCGUUUACGGGCCAUUCCGGUAACUCUCGUGACGUCCGUGAUCUCAUUCGGGACUCCUAACAACAUUCGGUAACCACACAUAUAACUCAACUAUACUAAAACAUCACCGAACCUUAAGUGUGCACACCCUGCGGGUUCGAGAACUAUGUAGACAUGACCCGAGGCACUCCUCGGUCAAUAUCCAAUAGAGGGACUUGGAUGCCCAUAUUGGAUCCUACAUAUUCUCCGAAGAUCUUAUCGGUUGAACCUCAGUGUCAAGGAUUCAUAUAAUCCUGUAUGUCAUUCCCUUUGUCCUUCGGUAUGUUACUUGCCCGAGAUUUGAUCGUCGGUAUCCGCAUACCUAUUUCAAUCUCGUUACCGGCAAGUCUAUUUACUCAUUCCGUAAUACAAGAUCCCGUGACUUACACUUAGUCACAUUGCUUGCAAGGCUUGUGUGUGAUGUUAUAUUACCGAGUGGGCCCCGAGAUACCUCUCCGUCACACGGAGUGACAAAUCCCAGUCUUGAUCCAUACUAACUCAAUGGACACCUUCGGAGAUACCUGUAGAGCACCUUUAUAGUCACCCAGUUACGUUGCGACGUUUGAUGCACACAAGGUAUUCCUUCGAUGCCAGUGAGUUAUAUAAUCUCAUGUUCAUAGGAAUAAAUACUUGACACGUAGAAAACAAUAGCAAUAAAAUGACACGAUCAAUAUGCUAUGUUGAUAGUUUGGGUCUAGUCCAUCACAUGAUUCUCCUGAUGAUGUGAUCCAGUUAUCAAGCAACAACACUUGCACAUAGUCAGAAAACCUUGACUAUCCUUGAUCAACUGGCUAGCUAACUAGAGGCUUGCUAGGGACAUCGUUUUGUCUAUGUACCCACACAUGUAUCUAUGAUUUCAUUCAAUACAAUUAUAGCAUGGAUAAUAAACGAUUAUCUUUGUAAUAGGAAAUAUAAUAAUAACUAUUUAUCAUUGCCUCUACGGCAUAUUUCCAACAGCGGCAACUUUGGCUGCGGGAGGAACCGGGGCGGUGGAGUGUUCGCGGGUGGCGGCGCUGUUGGCCGACAGCGGGCGCGCAACGGGGUGACCGGAGGGCGUAGUGCGGGGCGCCGGCGGGUCUCGGCCGGAGGGCGGCAACGCGACGCAGGUUUGACCAGAGCGGGGCUGGCGAAGGGGCUCUGGAUCGGGGCUCCUCCUCGAUGUGGAGCUCAGGCCCGAGGGGCGCGGAUGCGGCGGCGGCUUCGGGCCCGGGCGGGCUAGAGCGGUCCUGCGGCGCUGGUGGGAGGAGGAGAGGCUGCGCUAGGGUUUGAGGGGGCGCACGGAUCUUGAGGCAGGCCUGGGGCUGCCCGAUGUGGACGUGGGAAUGCCCAUUUAUAGAAGUUUUGUCUAGGGUUUGGGGUUUUCAUGGCCGAUUUUGACCGCGCGAUCGUGAUCAGACGUCCCCCGCCGCAGGGUGGGCUGGUUGGGCCGUGUAGAGUGGGUGUUGGGCUAAGACGAGAGGGAAAUGGUGCGACCCGGCGAUAGUGAUUUAAAACACCGAAAACGUCCGACGAUAACCCGCCGACGGUGCCGCUAUGGUCUACCGUUCGGCUAUCAAAGGGACUCCUAUUGCGGCGAAAAUUGGCACGCGACCUACCUACAUAAAAAUAAGACCGCACACCAAGUUUCAACCCAAUCCAAGAAUAUUUUAUACACACUUUUAAAAACAAAUAUUAGCGAUGCCGCGGGCGCAUGCGUGUGUGGUUGGUCUCAAAAUGGGCAACGACGAACACGGAGAGAACCGACAACUAAUAAUGGAUGCAGGUUUUGAAAACUGGCGGCAAUGGAGUGCCGAUGCAAUGCAGAUGAUGCGCAUGAUGCGAUGAUGAAUGCGACAGACAAACGAACCACACGACGGGAACGAAAUAAAAGGGGAACUUCUGGAGCGUCGGUCUCGGGAUGUCACACAUAUCACCGCAUGAAAUAUCCUCAAUUAUUUUAACAUAACAAUAACGUUUCCUUCAUCACAACAAACCAUACACAAAGGUAAUAUUCCAUGUUCAGAAUGCUUGCCUUGUUUGUGUAGAAAGGUAGGGUGCACUUCAAAACUUUUGAAAGUUUUCAAUCUUCCUCUUCAAAUUCCUAUUUUGAAAAUACUCAAAUCAACAUACCAUUCAAACAAAAGUAAAAAGUUAUUCGGAAAUUUUUCAAUUAAAUACUAAAAUAAACUAGAGAAAAAUUGAAAGAGGUGAGUAAAAGAAUCAACUCAUUUGGAGUUUUAUUUUAAAAGAUAUGACCAGUAAAAGAUUGGUCAAACUUCUGUUUUUAAAAUAAAUCAGAAAAGAAAGCGAUUCGGCUCACAUUAUGCUUUUACAGAAGGGAAUACAUACUUUGCACAAAUACACCUUCACUUAACGUGGCUCAAGCUCGGCUCUGUCGCUGACGAGUGGGGCCCUUCAUACAGGUUUGACUUUGGUCAAACCGGUCAUCUACCUCCUCCAAACAAGGGGAGGAGAGGCCUCCGGUGGCUCUUGACGGUGAUUGGGGGCACUACACCAAAAUCCGAGAGUAUCAACAUGCUCGGGGUCCCAAGGCAAUCCCAAAGGUGCGGGAUUUGGUCGGCGGAGAGCCUGGGAGCUCCAGCGGCUUCGAGGCGUGCGGACGGCGGCGCGGGUCCGCAAGGGAACUUUGCCCACGGCUCAUCUUGAGUGAAAUCGAGAGGGGGGAUGGGCUCGCGGUGCCAGUGUUAUUCCACCAAGGGGGAGAGCGAUGCAGGAUAAACUUCAUUGGCCUCGAAUUUAACUACAGGGGCGGCGGCCGAACCUCGGCCGGAGGUGAGGAAGACGACCUCCCCCGGUCGAUUGGUUGCAAUGGGAGCUUGAGAGGGGCCGGAGAGGUUCCUCUGAGGGUCUGGGAAAACCCGGGGGUCCCUUAUAUACGCAAUCA
RNAcentral lists this long non-coding RNA (3145 nucleotides) under Hordeum vulgare. Its description in RNAcentral is "long non-coding RNA (HVUL_LNC009616)". The record is from RNAcentral. Lineage: Eukaryota; Viridiplantae; Streptophyta; Magnoliopsida; Poales; Poaceae.